RNAcentral lists this ribosomal RNA (484 nucleotides) under uncultured bacterium. RNAcentral describes it as "partial 16S ribosomal RNA". It matches the Rfam family "Bacterial small subunit ribosomal RNA", at positions 28 to 507 of the family's 1533-position model. The record is from RNAcentral.
GUUGAACGCUGGCGGCAGGCCUAACACAUGCAAGUCGAGCGGAUGAAGGGAGCUUGCUCCUGGAUUCAGCGGCGGACGGGUGAGUAAUGCCUAGGAAUCUGCCUGGUAGUGGGGGAUAACGUCCGGAAACGGGCGCUAAUACCGCAUACAUCCUGAGGGAGAAAGUGGGGGAUCUUCGGACCUCACGCUAUCAGAUGAGCCUAGGUCGGAUUAGCUAGUUGGUGGGGUAAAGGCCUACCAAGGCGACGAUCCGUAACUGGUCUGAGAGGAUGAUCAGUCACACUGGAACUGAGACACGGUCCAGACUCCUACGGGAGGCAGCAGUGGGGAAUAUUGGACAAUGGGCGAAAGCCUGAUCCAGCCAUGCCGCGUGUGUGAAGAAGGUCUUCGGAUUGUAAAGCACUUUAAGUUGGGAGGAAGGGCAGUAAGUUAAUACCUUGCUGUUUUGACGUUACCAACAGAAUAAGCACCGGCUAACUUCGUG